AGGGAAUCUUCGGCAAUGGACGAAAGUCUGACCGAGCAACGCCGCGUGAGGGAUGAAGGUUUUCGGAUCGUAAACCUCUGUCAGAAGGGAAGAAACUACGUUGUGCUAAUCAGCAGCGUACUGACGGUACCUUCAAAGGAAGCACCGGCUAACUCCGUGCCAGCAGCCGCGGUAAUACGGAGGGUGCAAGCGUUAAUCGGAAUUACUGGGCGUAAAGCGCACGUAGGCUGUAGUGUAAGUCAGGGGUGAAAUCCCACGGCUCAACCGUGGAACUGCCUUUGAUACUGCACAACUUGAAUCCGGGAGAGGGUGGCGGAAUUCCAGGUGUAGGAGUGAAAUCCGUAGAUAUCUGGAGGAACAUCAGUGGCGAAGGCGGCCACCUGGACCGGUAUUGACGCUGAGGUGCGAAAGCGUGGGGAGCAAAC
RNAcentral lists this ribosomal RNA (425 nucleotides) under uncultured bacterium. RNAcentral describes it as "bacterial SSU rRNA". It matches the Rfam family "Bacterial small subunit ribosomal RNA", at positions 356 to 773 of the family's 1533-position model. The record is from RNAcentral.